Long non-coding RNA from Gallus gallus (chicken), 1848 nucleotides. Lineage: Eukaryota; Metazoa; Chordata; Aves; Galliformes; Phasianidae. The record is from Ensembl.
UGACUUUUCUUGCUUAGCUUACGUUGCCACUGACUAUGAAAGACCUGCAGUGUAAAGUAUUCAAACAAUAUCAUUCAUUUCACUUUGUUUUCUGCAAGAACAUGCAAGUUCUCCAAACUCAGAGCACUUCUCAGAUGCAUAAUCUGUUGCUUCUAACUUCUUAUAACUGGUACAACUCCAGAUCUCAGCUGGUAGCUUGGGUAAAACAAUACAUUCACUAUUCUGAAGUUACCCUUCACCUAUCGUAUGUGCCACACACAGGAUACACAGGAUCCGGACCAGAUAUCAGGAAUGCUAACCAUCAUGAACACUUUCCAUUCCUUCUGAAGUCUACAUUUUUACUUACAGCAAUGUGUUAAUAAGUGUGACAGCAUAUUCUAAAACGACUGCAAUCUCUAAAAGUUUAGAAGGAAUCUCCACAGAUAAAUUUGAAUUGCCUGUCUCAGUCCUGAACAGAUUUUGAAAAUGGGACUUUCCUGGCUGAGCUCAGAGUAAAACAGAUGUCAGAAAAUGAAAAAGAAAAAAAGAAACUCCCAGUGAUUGAAUGGACAGAAUUAACACCCUCUGAGAGAGGCAGCAGCAUCUGUUUGUCCCUGCCACCGAGGAGCUGUGACAACCUUUGUCCAGGGGUUGGAUUCCUGGAGCAGGGUCAGGAGAUGGCCUGGGUGCUCCUCACAUGCUUCACCACAAGGACCAAGACAGCUCCCAGGCUACUUCCCAAGCCUCAGCAACUGUUUUCAUUUAGGGUAUGGACAGAACUGCUGCUGGUUUGGAAAUGAAAACCAGCACAGAACAAGGUUUUAUUCAGAGCAAGCAGCUCUACUUCAAUCCCCAAAGAGCGGGCUUUGAUUUGAGACAAUUAAAGCCCUUACUCCCCAUAAAGUAAGGUUUCGUGACCGUAAGUAAAGUCUUCCAAUGGCCAACUGUUGGUUCAUUUCCAGAAACUUUGCUAUUUAGUCAUCCUAACUGAAGACUGAAGACAGUGUCCAACGAGAUGCAAGUGCUGUAAAACAUGGAUGAGACAGAAUCCUUCCCUCCACAGAAGUCAGAACAGGGAUCUCUUACUUCUUAACAGUAAAAUGCACCACCAUCUGCAGCAACAUCAUUGGUUAUUUAAGACUACUUCCAGAACUGAAAGACUUUUUGUUAAAUAACUUCUAGAUUUUAAAAAAAGAGAGAAUUUUAAUGUCACAAAUGCUUGGGCUGUGCUUCAGGUUCUGGGAGGAAAUUUAGAUGUUACCAUUAUGAAGUACACCAAACUUCACAAAAGCUCAAAGCUCAAGCAAGACAAGCCAGCAGCCUCACCAAUGGAAUUUACUGAACUAUUUAGUUUUUCAGCCAGCACCUUUAUUAAAGCAAACAAUGCAGACAACAAAAACCCCACUAAAUGUCUGGCCAAAAACUGUAAUUUGAUCCUUUUAAAUCACAGUUUUAGGCCACGUAUGUACUACUCAGAAGGGAAUUACACAGGCAGUAUCAACGGCCUCUUACCCAUGGUGAUGGAUGUGGUCUUGGCUCACAGGCUUUAUAACAUACUGAAUUUCAGUCCUUGGAGGGUCUUGUAUUCUGCUAGCUGCUCUAAAAUAAUGUAGAAGAGACCAAAUAAGGUAAUUAAACAAGACUAAAAGCAUAUCCUGAGAGGCUUGCCUUAUUUUUUUUAAAAAACUGUUUUCUGUACUUCCGUGCAUACAAUAGCAGAUUGGAGCCCAGUUGCUGUGCUGUGAAGAGGGACAUGACUGAGGAAGUUUCCCAGACGCAGCCAUUUAGAUGGGAACAAAGUUCAGAGCGAAAGUUGUUAUCCCAGCAUGUCUUGGGUACCCUCAUCUUACUGACUGAACAAAAUAUCAG